UGGCUCAGACAGUAAAGCGUCUGCCUACAAUGCAGGAGACCCAGGUUCGAUCCCUGG
This 57-nucleotide transfer RNA is filed under the name Odocoileus virginianus texanus. It matches the Rfam family "tRNA", at positions 8 to 63 of the family's 71-position model. From Rfam's summary of the family: Transfer RNA (tRNA) molecules are approximately 80 nucleotides in length. Their secondary structure includes four short double-helical elements and three loops (D, anti-codon, and T loops). The record is from Rfam by way of RNAcentral. RNAcentral also lists the same sequence under 4 other names. Lineage: Eukaryota; Metazoa; Chordata; Mammalia; Artiodactyla; Cervidae.